Molecule: non-coding RNA, 73 nt
Organism: Stegodyphus mimosarum
Lineage: Eukaryota; Metazoa; Arthropoda; Arachnida; Araneae; Eresidae
Source: Rfam
GUCUUCAUGGUGUAAUGGUGAGCACACUCGGCGCAUAUUCGAGAGGUCCGAGGUUCGAGUCCCGGCUAGGGCA